AAUUUCACUGGAGCAAUAUCCAAAAAGAAAGAAAAAAAAGAAAAAAAAAAAACUCUUGUUCCUUAAACCCUAACCAAAACCCCGCCGUUCUAAUUACGUUCUCCUCCUCCUUAUUUCUCAAGACAUUUACUUCACUUAAAAAUAGCAUUAUUCUUUUGACACUGCAAAAAUGGCUUGGCGUAAUGGAGGAUCACUCUCACGCACUCUCAUCUCCGCCGCCAGGGCUCCAUCGCGCCUCUCUUCCGCGCCGCUCCCUCGCAUCCGUCCACCUACUGCCUCUCCCCGCCUCCAGUCUCGCCGCCUUUCUUUUGGUCCUUCUAGGAACUUGGGAGAACUGGGAUGUCUGCAAUCAUUCUUGCCUUUGCAUAGCACAAACCAUCUCACAUCGCACCUCAACUCUAACUUGCGGGCUUUUUGCGAGCUGUCUCACGGUACCUUCUGCCGCACUUGUCAAGAUCGCUAGUAGUCUCUUUGGAAUGGAAAAGACGGGUGAUGCGCGUGGACUUUCAGUCAGCUAGAGGUGCAGGAUUGUUGCCAGAAUUGUACUUGAAGGGCCAUGGCAUUUGCACAUCAAAGCACUAUAGAGUACUGAAGUCAGAGAGUGGGUCAGUCCUGUGGGAUCUUGGGGUUUUUUGAGUAGGAAAUACUAUAAUAAAGAUAUGUUUUAUUAUAUUUCAUCUUGAAUUUCCUUGUUUUUAGGACAAUCAAUUGGAAGGUUAUGUAACCCCCGAUAUUGUUUAAACAUGUCCUAUUUUUUUGUGGUUCUAUCUAGUAUCUAUAAGAUUGUGCUUAUCGAUAA
Ricinus communis (castor bean) is the source of this 799-nucleotide RNA transcript. RefSeq lists it as uncharacterized. The record is from RefSeq and is a predicted model, not a curated record. Lineage: Eukaryota; Viridiplantae; Streptophyta; Magnoliopsida; Malpighiales; Euphorbiaceae. The transcript has 4 exons.